AGAAGGAUGGCAACUGAUCCUCAGGCAGUUCAUCAUGACCAUCAUAAAGCUCUGUUGUUUGUCACACUGGAGAAUAAACGAAUGAUUUGAAGGACGUGGACGAGGACUGAGAUGCUGCGAGUGGAGAGGAAGAGUGACAUGAAGAGGAAAGAAGUUCAUUACUCGGCUGAAAAGGAGGCAAAUGGCUUUCACAGUCGCCUUGGGAACGGGCCUUUCUCUCUCUCACAAACCUAUAAUAAGAAUCUCUCUGCUGUUUCUCUGUCACAUUCAGUGGUGCUUUUCAGGAGCUCCAGCAAUCUUGGCUGAAUGCGAUGGCUCCAGUGCAGGGAGGGCUCAGCUCAGCUCGGCUCGGCUUGGCUCUUCUGCGGGACGGAGGACUGACUCUCCCCUGCGCUUCUCUCUCGGCUCAGAACGGCUAGGUUUGACAAUCCCACCCGGCUCUGUCCAGCUAAACCAUCAGCAAAACCUAAAAGACGCAGAGGGAAGGAUUUGGAGCAACGGCUGUGCACCGAUGAAAGUGCCUAUCUUUUUUCGGACUGAACGAUAACAUGACAAACCAAUUAAACAGGCUGUGGACAUCAAUGGAAGACACGUGAUUUAUUGUUCAACGGUGUGGUCUAGCUGUUUACCUACAGUUGAAUUUGUUCCAAUAUAAAGAAACCUGAACAAAAUUUGACAUCAGCAACAAAAGAAUAAAACUGUGGUCAUUGUUUGAUUGCAGUUUGAUCAUCAGUUUCGAAGCCCUGCUCAACAGAAAACCCGUAAAGUCUGAGAAAAUCGAUCCAAACAAGCCUUAAUUCUGUCAUUAGGUGAGAGGGAGCCGUGGGCUGAUUGGCUGCCCGUCUGCUCCAUAUUCAGAGGUGCUGGAUGAGGCAGAGGGCCUGCUGGGUAAAAUGCUGCUGUAAUCAGGAGCCGGCUGUGCUGCCUGAUCAGGUGUGUUUGCAUCCACACGAGAAUGAGGACACCCACGGAAGAGCACAGGAGGAACAGGGAGAGCCGUUGAGGAGAACCAUCUGACUUCGAUUCCAGCCGGUGACUGAAUGAAUGAGUCAGAGAAAUGUGUGACCUGCAGUGAUUUGAACAGGUGUUGACGAUGCCCCUUCUCUUGCUGCAUCUCUCCUUUAAAUCCAUUAAGAUCAUCAAAACAUGUCAGGGGGAUCAUCAGUCUGUCUGCGGGACGAGCUGCAUCCUGCCCAGCAAACCAGCUCACACUCACACACUCUCUAAACAGGCUUGGAGCGACCGAAGCUGCUGUCCGGUUUGAAGAUGCGCUCGCUCAUUAGGGCACAACAGGAAGCAGUUGGUCAGUAGUAGUAGAGCACAUGCAGGUGACCAGCGACAGGUGGACAGCAGCACACAGUCACAUAUGAGGGGAAGGCAGGCAGACAGACAGACAGACGUACCAGGCGGGCAGGCAGACAGCGGGCAGACAGCAGGGGUAGGUGCCUGAGAGUCCGCACUGUGGCAGAGUAACAGAUGUGUGGUGAAUCUUUAACUUCGCUCACUCCCCACUGUCACUGCAUCUGUGCGCAGCCCCUCUGCCUCAGCCAAACCCCCUCCUGUGUGAAAGAACGCAACAAUAAAAAGCUAUCAGUGCACUUAUUGAUUAGCCCGCAGUGUCAGGGAUGCUGAUAUUUAAUGAUCUGCAGGUCACGCCGUCUUUCUGCAGGUUACGGUGGUGCUCUUUAUGUUAAACGUUUAAUUAAAAAUCAAUGAUGAAUGCUGCGUAUCAAGCCAAUCUGUUAUGACAUUCCCCAAUAUUUGCUAUUAUUGAGAAAUCUAAA
This is a long non-coding RNA of Danio aesculapii, 1784 nucleotides long. RefSeq lists it as uncharacterized. NCBI's taxonomy places the organism in Eukaryota, Metazoa, Chordata, Actinopteri, Cypriniformes, Danionidae. The transcript is spliced from 12 exons. The record is from RefSeq and is a predicted model, not a curated record.